CACGUAGGGGGCAAGCGUUGUCCGGAUUCAUUGGGCGUAAAGAGCUCGUAGGCGGUUCGAUAAGUCGGGUGUGAAACCUCCAGGCUCAACCUGGAGACGCCACCCGAUACUGUCGUGACUAGAGUCCAGUAGGGGAGCGUGGAAUUCCUGGUGUAGCGGUGAAAUGCGCAGAUAUCAGGAGGAACACCAGCGGCGAAGGCGGCGCUCUGGGCUGGAACUGACACUGAGGAGCGAAAGCGUGGGGAGCAAACGGG
This 254-nucleotide ribosomal RNA is filed under the name uncultured bacterium. Its description in RNAcentral is "partial 16S ribosomal RNA". It matches the Rfam family "Bacterial small subunit ribosomal RNA", at positions 524 to 776 of the family's 1533-position model. The record is from RNAcentral.